AUCCCUGAUGUGUUGACAUAUAAGAUUGCAAAUCUUAAGUAUAACUAAUAUUAUCUGCAGGGGCUU
RNAcentral lists this transfer RNA (66 nucleotides) under Aphaniops ginaonis. RNAcentral describes it as "tRNA-Cys". The record is from RNAcentral. Lineage: Eukaryota; Metazoa; Chordata; Actinopteri; Cyprinodontiformes; Aphaniidae.